CCACCCCCGCGCCACAGGGUCGCGGCCGGCGCCGCACUGCCCGUCCCCCUGAGCGCCCCGGCCGGGCUGUGCUGCGGAGCGGAGUCUCCCGCCUGCCCUUUGCGGUGCUCCCUCCCCGGCAGGUCCCGCACGGCGCGGCCCCGCAGCGCCGAGGCCCCUAAAGCGUCUUGCCCGGAGGCUGUCGGGGGUCGCCUGGGCGGCGAGUGAGAGGAGCCUGGGCCGAGUCACUUGGGCUCGUUCCGCCUGGGGUCGUGUUUUGAGGAGCCAGAGAGAGCAUCAGUGGGAUUUCUUUAGUCUUCAGUAAAGAUCUUCAGUCAGUUACCUACCAUGGGAGUCGGGAUAUAAGCAGCCCCCAGAGUCUGUAAAGGCUGGCAUGAGACCGAGCACCGUCUAGGAAGCUGUGUCAGGAGCAGUCACCUCUUGACACUGCUGCUAAUAGGUGGUUAUUACAGCCCAUUUUGCUGAGAGCUGAGGUCUAUUUUUGCCACCAGUAUGUUUUGCCAGUUUCGUAUCCACAAGUCUAACCUUCUGUUUUGGAAGAACUUUGUAGUCUGUCAUUCAUAAAGAAAUGAAGUAACUGUUGGGCCAUCAGACUGGAUGUCAGUAUCAGCCACUGGGAGAUGGAAUAAUGCUCUUUACUGUUGGAAGGAAGACUCUUUGAAAUCUUUCUUAAGGAGGUAGUCACCUCCAUGCAGAAAGAAAAACUCUCUAGGUACAAGAAGAUGUUAAGCAAGGAAGAGUCAAAGUUAAAACUUGGCAAGAGCUAAAACAAAGAUUUUUUCCAAGGAAAUGGAGGAGACAGGUCAAAUUAAUUCCUUAUAUCACAGUAUUAGAGGUGUACUGGGAGCAUGAUGAGCAAAAGACUCCUUGAAUGCUGCUGCAAAGCUGGUUAAACAUCCUACCUUGGUUUGAGUCCAGUUUUGAACAGAGGUUGAGAGGAGUCAUCUUGUGUAUCACAUUUUCUUACCAUGGCUGGAAUAUCUGCUAGGAGGCAGAAGAGCCCUCCCAGGCAGAUCACCUUGAUGAAUUUAACAAGCACAUGUGAAUAACAAAGACUGACCAGAAAUAUUUUCACUUACAAAAGCAUUCUUUUAUACUAACUGUAGGAACAGUAGCCACAUACACAAUGGAAUCAAACCUUUGGACAGUGCUGUUUCAAUAGGAGCCUUCAGAAAAAAAAACUUCCUAUGUGAUGAAAGAGAAACUGCUCAAAAAUCCAUUCAGGUAUACCCUACACUUCCUUAUGGACACCUAAUGAAAAUAUAUUAGAAUUAACUGUAAAUUGAGCAAGUAGCAAAAAAAGCUUGAUGAACUGACUGUAACAAAAUAUCCAGUGAAGAAAAGCUCUGCAGACUUCUGCUUGCCAGCACUGGCAAGUAUGUAGUUUAGCUAAAUAGAAAGAAAGCAGAAGAUACAGCUAUCAACUGCAAACGAAUGAUUAUAAACCAGAAAGAAAAUGUGAGGAAGAGCUCUGAAAAUUAUGAUUGACAGUGACAACACAGACCAGACAGCUUUUAUUUUAAGCAACAGAUUGUUGGGAACAUACACCAUAUAUCAAAGUGAAGGACUUGAAACCUGCUGUAGUCUGUACAGAUGUUCUCACUCAGAAAGCAGCUAGAGGGAACAGAAGAUAAAAGAAGGCUGUCCAACUCAAAAAAAAGGUUUGAAUUUUCAUUCUGUUUUGACAAGUUUUUACGCUAGUCUCUGAUUUUCAGCAUGAUAGAAUAUUCAGCAUCUACAAACCUGACCCAAAGUGAAAAAUACCUGAAGGGGUGCAAGUGAGCCCUUAAGAAGGUGCUAUACGACAUCAUGAAAUAUUUUUUGUUGUUUUAGUCUUAAAUGCUUUUGUAUUGAAGGAGACAGAAAUUGGAAAUGCUGUAAGUGCUGUAGCUCUGGAGCAGGUCGUAUGUGCUUGCAGUCAGCAUGCAGUACCUGGAAUGCAAGGCUAAGAUCUGAGAGGCAAUUUAGGAAUCCCUGCUGCAGAAAAUAUUUUUCAUGAUACAAAGCAAGACAGGAUUACUGAGCUCAAAAUGGUUAUUUGUGAAUAACUUCCAGCUAAAGUGAUUAAGGGCUUCAGCCACUAGCCCCAGAAAAAAAAAACAACUAACAAAGAGCAUCAAAAACAUCCUGCUUGUCAUUGCUGCUGGCUUUUUGUUCAGUGAGCAAGAGGUCUGUGUUGGUUUUGGUCCUUUGCCCUUGGGGACACUUUUAACAAAACAUAAUACUUGAAAGAAUUCCAAAAUGUGUUUGUUUUUUUUUCUUUUCUUUGAACUAUGAGGUGAAAGAUAAAUAAAGGAGUAUUUUGAUAUGUCUAAAAAAAUACUUGUGAUAACAAAUAGACAAAGCACUUCCUAACGUUCAAGACUUACAAGUGCAAUUUACAAACAUGCCACAGUUCUUGAUAACAGAAAUCCCAUCCAGUACUAUUUUUUUUUUAAUGUAAGGUAAAGCACUCUUUUAAGAGAUCAUCUCUCUAAGAAAUGUGAGUAUCUUCAACAGAAUCUUUGGUACUUUUUGGUUUAAGGUUUUGGGGUUUUUAAAAUUCUAAUCUGCUAUAAUAUCUGCCAGAAAAAUCAAGAGCCAAGAAACAUACUGAAGAUAGGAAUGUUGUGAUGAGUGUAAAUUGGUAAGAGGUUCCUCUGGCAAUCUCAGAUUUGCAGAGAGGAAAUUUGGGCUCUUGUACAGAUGAGUUGCUCUUACAGAAUUUUACAGCAUGAGAUGAACAAAGAGACUACCACCAAGUCAUAGGCCACUAACUUAAAUCAUUCAAAGCAUUUCAGAUCCUAACAGGAAGAGAUUUGGAUAUGCACAUAGUAGCAUGUCUAUUUCUGAGUUUAUUUGCAAAAGUAGUCAGAGUUCCUUAACAUUCCCCAUUGCAGGUAUCAUGCCCAAUUAUAUAAAUGUAUGUAAAACUACUGAUAAACCAUCUGAAAGUGAUGACAACAUGAGUAAUGAAGGCUGUCACAAUGGGUGGCUGGAACAUCGUGGACAGACAAAGGUUACAAUUUCCUAUUUCAGGAUCUGCCAUACAAAUUCCAAAAGCCAUGAGGAACCUACAGUGAUGUGCAGGGAGCACUGAUAGCCCUUUCUUAGCCAUAGAGGUCUAACCACAUGCCACAAGUUUGUAGAACUUCAUAAGAUUUAUUAUAUUCAGUUUUUUCCUCUUUUUAUUCUGUUUAAAUGCUUGUUUUGAGGGACAAUACGAUCUCAGCAUUCAUCAUUAAGAAAAAAAGUACACAUUCAUUUUGUACUCAGAGUAUCAGCCUUUUCUUCAGGGUUGCCAAUACCAGUUCUUUAUAGAAUACAGCCCAUAACAAAAACAUCUUCCUCAAAACUACCACUUGUAGCAGCAAAGGACCCCCAGACCAAACAAAAACUAAGUUUUUUGAGUCUAGAAUGAAAACGUCACCUGAUAGCAGCUUUCAGAAGAGAUAUUUGUGGAGGCUGAGUGUCUACUGUUUCAGUAUGUUUUUUAAAGUUCAACAUUUAGCAGAAGAUACAUAUUUAUUCUGCUGCCUUAAUGGGAAUAUUUCAUUCAGCUAAAGCAAACGCUCUGGUAUCUCUGUUAAUAUCAUGGUGAUUUGAACUGUGCAGAGAAGCACCCAGCAGUGUUUAUCCUGGAUGAUGCAAGAGUUGCUAUGGCCAUUACAUGUAUUUAUCAUGGCUUGCUUUCCCCUUUAAAAUGAAGCUGUGCUGUAAGAUUGGAGGUAGUUAGGAAAUACCUUGGAAUUACAUUGCAAUUAAGUGGCUUGUUAAAGCUUCUCACUAAAAAAAAGUGUGUAAAAAGAAUGCCCAUUAAAGAAUACUGGUGGUUAAUAUCAUUAAACUAGCCUUGAGUUCAAAUACCAGAUUUCCAAGGUCAGGUAUUGAGCCCUUUUAUUCUCACAGAGAUUUUAAAUUUGUUUGGUUUCUGUAAGCACACAUUUGUCAAACUGUAGCACUGAAAAACCACUUCCUGUCUGACUUCACAUUGUCAGAAACACAAUCUCUUCAACUACAGCUGUACAAUUUAUACAGUGAAAAAUUUGAAUGAGAAGCACCAAAACUACCUUUUGUCUUUUAAAAAAGAUUUUUAUUUCUGUUUUUAAAUAACUUGACAAAACUCAUCCAUAGGUACUCUGAGUUCAAUUGUAAACAGUUACAAUACAUUACCACUGUGUAUUGAUUUUGUACAUUAACCUAUUUGCAGUGACAGUCCGUAAGACAAGGCAAACUGAAAUGCACUGUACUAAGAUGUACUAACAAUGAAAUACUCCAAAGGCUGAUGUGUAACUCCCUCCUGUGGUGUGAGUGAGCAGCUUCGCAGACGACAGCUUCUGGCAGCUUGGGGAGCGCUCCUGAUAUUCCAAGUCUCUAUUCAGGUUUCAAGUCUACUAUGGAAACUUCUCUCCUAAGUUAAAAGUGUCACACUACAUUUGUAAAAUACAUACAAAGUUGUAAACAUAUUUCUCUGAAACAAAAACUGGUUUGUGCCAGCCUUCUCCACCUCCCACAUUGCAAUUAAAAAAAAAAUAAUAAUUAAAAAAAAUAGGGCCAAAGACUAAGGCCGUAGACUAAAAUUUUUCUGCAGGGAUAAAAUCACAGUUUACAGGAAGUAUUGAGUAUCAGCAUUGAAAAUUAGUCACCAUCAGGUAAUAGAAACCAUUUUCAAGAAAUGGUUUCACUCAACUUCAAGUGAUGAAUCAGGCACUAGAUAUUUGAUUUCCCUCCUUUUAAGAACAGAAGUUUAAAAUACAUUUAGGUACUAUGUUUGAUAAUACCUAAAAUUGACCACAAACAGAUGCUUAAACACUGAUACUUUUGCAAGUUUAGAUUUUGACCACUUUUGCUAUCAGGUUUAUACCAAUCUUCCAUGAAGAAGGAAGGAAUUUGCAAAACAGACUAUAUACAUAUAUAGAGAUCACACAAAUAAAAUGGAUCUUUUCAAGGCAGAUUUUCUUUGUGCAAAGUCCCUCUGGUCAUUUUCUAAAACGUUUUAGGUUUUGUAUUUAUUUCAUCAUUAACAGUGAAGUAACUAUCUUAGUCUGAAUCACGUAUAACUAAUUCCAAACAGACUAAGAUAACUGAGAUUUUGGGAUGCAGUAGAGGAUUAAUAUCCAAGUACAAUAGGAUUUGCUUUUACCAGUGCAGACUGGUAAAGGAUAACAUUAUUCUAGUACUUCUGUAUUUACUGUUCUUGUUUUAACACUGUCAGGAGAUUGAUAUCUGUGACCUUGUAAUUUAAGUAUGACAGUUGAUCAUGAAAUAUCAGUAUUUUCAUAGGCAACAUUUGGUUUAUUUUAAAGUUCUAUCAAGUGUAGCUCUUCCUUGAGAAUUAGAGGCUCUGCAGUCUAAAAAGGGUUCUCCCCCUUUCCCCAGUUACUGGCUGUGCAUCACAGAAACAAGUAGCAGAACACAUUCUGUGCACUAUCAGGGGAAAAAAAAAGUUUUAAAAUAUUCACGUGAAUGUACUCUUUGAUUUUUUGAAAAGUUAUGCUAAGUUCUAACCUUAAUAUAUUUUGUAAGCCCCAAAUUCUAGCUGCAAUUCUCAGCUGUCAGAGAUACAAGAUACUCAGUUUAAAUAUUGGAUUUUAAUUAAAGCAGCUGUUCUGAAGAGAAAAAAAAGAAAUAUGUCACAUUGAGUACAUAUUGCUCUGUCAGCUGUACCACCUGUCAUACAGCCUAAUGAGAGACUAUGGACUCUUACAUCUCUACAGGGUUUCUGUCAAUUUGUUGUGCAUAAUUAAUUGCACAACAAUGUUUCUGAGGUGGAACAAAGUAUCAGCACAAGCUUAUGCUGAGAAAUUCGAGGGAAAUAUAUGCACAACCUGGUCAUAAAAAAGGAGCAACCUGACAAUAAGAUUAUCUAUUAGAAGAGUACAUACAGGCUUGCUUCUUCCAAAAAUUAAAUGUGUAUACCUAUAAGGGGCAAAGGUGGAGAGAAGGAGAAAGGAAGCAAACUUUGGCAAAGUUUAAGAAAGUGCUGUCUUUAUAGUUCUAAUAAUAACUUUAAAAAAAAAAAUAAAUAAACCACCAAACCUCAAACAAUAGCAAAACCAAACCCAACACUGAAAAACCAAAAGGCUAAAAAAUGUCUACAGCUAGAACUGUUCCCUGUGCAGGAUGAUGCAGACACACGAUUGCUGAGAUUGCACUGGCUAAAACCACACAGAGAAGUAACACCACCAUCUCUACUGCAUUUUGCACUGCAACAUCAGAAGGUAAAUAAGCAUUUGCAUAAGCAUCCCAACAUCAUACUGUGGUAAAACACUUUUUAUCUACAUGCAGAGCUCUGUGCACACACAUUUUAAAGUAUAUUUUCUUUUCAAAGCAGUACACCAUAUAGUAAAUUUUCACUUAAGUGUAACUACUAGGAAAUUCUCUAAACAUUGAGUAUUUUCUUAUUUCUUUUCUAAAGGCAGAAAUAAAACUUUGCUAUGUACUGCAGGAAGGAUCUGGACAUUAAACAAUGAAAUUUUAGAUAGCACAAGUUGUUUAGUAGAACCCUGACAUUUUGCUUAGAAAUAACCUCUCCUAGAGAAGGAUGAGAGACAAAAAUACAGAAUAUGAAGGCAACUCCUGGUUGAGUAUAAAGGUUCCUUACCUCUACUAAUAAUGUUAUUUUUCUGUACUAUAAUAAUCAUCUCAGACAACCCUAACAGCACAUUAACUCAGAAAAGUUUUCCACAUUGGACAUUGUGAAGCCAUGAAGCUCCACAAAAACUGGUUCUUGGCCAAGACACCUUCCAUCUUUUGAGAUGAGUUGAUAUCAAAACAUCUGUAGGAAGAGAACAGUGGCCUAAACCAUAUUGUGUUAGAUUUAUCUAUAGUUUCAAAGGAUGGAUGCCAUCCUUCAGGUUCCCUAUUCUCCCUCCAGACAGGAAAAGCCAUUUAAACUUUGUCUCAGUCAGGGCAGGCAGUUCUGUUAGUGCAAGAACAGCACUUUCAUUCCAUGGCCUCCCCAGGCUUAAAGUGCAGUAUAUUACAUGAGAUUUUAACAUACCAAACUAUGCUUUAUUUGAAUUUCAGAAGGAAUGUUCAAGUUAAAAUUACCUUUUAGGUUUUAACCAAUAAAAUUCAAGGCAAGGUACAUAAACUAUCUUAAAAUGGAUUAAAUCCACUUAUUUAAGUAUUCUUUGUAUCUUAUGUUAAAUAUACAUAUACACAACAAACAUCCAUCAUUUCACUUAGCUGUAUUGUAUUUAAAGUGAUUCUGUAAUAAAUGAUGAAAGGCCACGCACUCAAACAAGACGUUGCUUAAAACAGGACAGUAUUAGCUGGACUGUGAUAUGUAACACAAUUCAAUAUUCCAAGAUCUCCUCCUCCAUAGGCUUGUCAUCAAUGAGGAGAAAACCCUUGGCAUUCUUCUGUACACACAUUUAAAUUCUAGUUUUUUGGUGGUGUCUCAUGUUUCGUUUCCCCUCAAUUUGAAAUCACCAUGAAGAAAAGGUGCAUUAAAAAUUGGAUUGAUGUUUUUAUGCCUUUAGCUACUCCUCUUGCCUAUUAACGUGACAAUCUCACUACAAGUUCUUGUAUAGAACUAUGGUUCCCAAAACAUGCAGUUCCCAAAAGACAUACAGCAGAGAAUGUUCCAGGGCAAACCAGUCAGCUGCACAAAUAAGGUCUCAAGUAACAACUGCAAGUACAGCUGUGCCAAUUGAUCCUUUGUACAGGAAGUCCAAGCACCCAAAUUCUGGGUGCAGGACUGUGUUCAGGGAAGGCUCACCAUAGGGGGAGGGUAUGGCUGUACCUAUGGAGCUGCUUAGAGAGAUUAAUGUGGAGUUGCAAAACAUUGUCUUUAGCAAUCAAGCCAGCUUAAACAAGCUCCAACCCCUCCCUGCCUUCAUUGCUCUGCCUUCAGCCCUGUCAAGUGUUUUUUUGGGUCAAGGUAUAGGCGGACAGCAGCUUAACACCCUAACUCCAAGCCACAGACAUUUGGAGAAGUGUCUUUGUUUCUGGUGUUCUGGGAUGUCAGAUCCACAUCACUUCAGGAAUCUUGAACCUCUGCAACACCACGCAUUAACUUGUGUUAACACCACUCACUACAAGGCUGAUAAAUUCCAACAGUAGAGAUGAGGGUGAACAGCUCAACUUAGAGUGAACUGUUAAGAGUAAUCACUUACAACACAUAAUCCAGUAUUAUUUUGGGGCUUUCAGUCACUUCAUGACAGAUAAUUGCACAGUCAAAAGUCUGUAAGUUAAACAAUCAUUUAAACACCAGGGAAAAGUUAUUUUCUAAAUUAAAGUAAGUGGCUUUUCAUCUCUUUUAGCAUCCAAAAAAAGACAAUCAGCCAAUGGGGAUCAUGAAAACACAACAUAUCAUUUAGCAUAAAAA
Cyanistes caeruleus (blue tit) is the source of this 8314-nucleotide long non-coding RNA. RefSeq lists it as uncharacterized. The record is from RefSeq and is a predicted model, not a curated record. NCBI's taxonomy places the organism in Eukaryota, Metazoa, Chordata, Aves, Passeriformes, Paridae.